Molecule: ribosomal RNA, 550 nt
Filed under: uncultured archaeon
Lineage: Archaea
Description: bacterial SSU rRNA
Rfam family: Archaeal small subunit ribosomal RNA
Source: RNAcentral
CGGGGUGCGCAGGCGCGAAAACUUUGCAAUACACGAAAGUGUGACAGGGCUAUCCCGAGUGCCAUCCGCUGAGGAAGGCUUUUACCCAGUCUAGAACGCUGGGGGAAUAAGGAGAGGGCAAGUCUGGUGUCAGCCGCCGCGGUAAUACCAGCUCUCCGAGUGGUGUGGAUGUUUAUUGGGCCUAAAGCAUCCGUAGCUGGCUAAGUUAGUCCCUUGUUAAAUCCACCGAAUUAAUCGUUGGAUUGCGGGGGAUACUGCUUGGCUAGGGGACGAGAGAGGCAGACGGUAUUUCCGGGGUAGGGGUGAAAUCCUAUAAUCCCGGGAAGACCACCAGUGGCGAAGGCUGUCUGCUAGAACGCGCCCGACGGUGAGGGAUGAAAGCUGGGGGAGCGAACCGGAUUAGAUACCCGGGUAGUCCCAGCUGUAAACGAUGCAGGCUAGGUGUUUGGACGGCCACGUGCCGUUCUAGUGCCGCAGGGAAGCUGUUAAGCCUGCCGCCUGGGGAGUACGAUCGCAAGAUUGAAACUUAAAGGAAUUGGCGGGGGAGCAC